RNAcentral lists this ribosomal RNA (453 nucleotides) under uncultured Bifidobacterium sp. RNAcentral's name for it is "bacterial SSU rRNA". It matches the Rfam family "Bacterial small subunit ribosomal RNA", at positions 173 to 640 of the family's 1533-position model. The record is from RNAcentral. Lineage: Bacteria; Bacillati; Actinomycetota; Actinomycetes; Bifidobacteriales; Bifidobacteriaceae.
CUCCAGUUGGAUGCAUGUCCUUCUGGGAAAGAUUCAUCGGUAUGGGAUGGGGUCGCGUCCUAUCAGCUUGAUGGCGGGGUAACGGCCCACCAUGGCUUCGACGGGUAGCCGACCUGAGAGGGCGACCGGCCACAUUGGGACUGAGAUACGGCCCAGACUCCUACGGGAGGCAGCAGUGGGGAAUAUUGCACAAUGGGCGCAAGCCUGAUGCAGCGACGCCGCGUGCGGGAUGACGGCCUUCGGGUUGUAAACCGCUUUUGACUGGGAGCAAGCCCUUCGGGGUGAGUGUACCUUUCGAAUAAGCACCGGCUAACUACGUGCCAGCAGCCGCGGUAAUACGUAGGGUGCAAGCGUUAUCCGGAAUUAUUGGGCGUAAAGGGCUCGUAGGCGGUUCGUCGCGUCCGGUGUGAAAGUCCAUCGCUUAACGGUGGAUCCGCGCCGGGUACGGGCGGG